CGGGAUAGCUCAGCUGGUAAAGCAAAGGACUGAAAAUCC
Molecule: transfer RNA, 39 nt
Filed under: Turnera bahiensis var. truncata
Lineage: Eukaryota; Viridiplantae; Streptophyta; Magnoliopsida; Malpighiales; Passifloraceae
Description: partial tRNA-Phe
Source: RNAcentral